AGAGUUUGAUCAUGGCUCAGGACGAACGCUGGCGGCAUGCCUAAUACAUGCAAGUCGAGCGAACAGAUGAAGUGCUUGCACUUCUGACGUUAGCGGCGAACGGGUGAGUAACACGUAAGGAAUCUACCUAUAAGCGGGGGAUAACAUUCGGAAACGGGUGCUAAUACCGCAUAAUAUCUUCUUCCGCAUGGAAGAAGAUUGAAAGACGGCUCUGCUGUCACUUAUAGAUGACCUUGCGGUGCAUUAGUUAGUUGGUGGGGUAACGGCCUACCAAGACGAUGAUGCAUAGCCGACCUGAGAGGGUGAUCGGCCACAUUGGGACUGAGACACGGCCCAAACUCCUACGGGAGGCAGCAGUAGGGAAUCUUCCGCAAUGGGCGAAAGCCUGACGGAGCAAUGCCGCGUGAGUGAAGAAGGCCUUCGGGUCGUAAAACUCUGUUAUAAGAGAAGAACAAAUUGUAGAGUAACUGCUACAGUCUUGACGGUAUCUUAUCAGAAAGCCACGGCUAACUACGUGCCAGCAGCCGCGGUAAUACGUAGGUGGCAAGCGUUGUCCGGAUUUAUUGGGCGUAAAGGGAGCGCAGGUGGUUUCUUAAGUCUGAUGUGAAAGCCCACGGCUUAACCGUGGAGGGUCAUUGGAAACUGAGAAACUUGAGUACAGAAGAGGAAUGUGGAACUCCAUGUGUAGCGGUGGAAUGCGUAGAUAUAUGGAAGAACACCAGUGGCGAAGGCGACAUUCUGGUCUGUUACUGACACUGAGGCUCGAAAGCGUGGGGAGCAAACAGGAUUAGAUACCCUGGUAGUCC
RNAcentral lists this ribosomal RNA (806 nucleotides) under uncultured bacterium. Its description in RNAcentral is "bacterial SSU rRNA". It matches the Rfam family "Bacterial small subunit ribosomal RNA", at positions 8 to 796 of the family's 1533-position model. The record is from RNAcentral.